Molecule: transfer RNA, 70 nt
Filed under: Bacteriophage sp.
Description: tRNA-OTHER
Rfam family: tRNA
About the family: Transfer RNA (tRNA) molecules are approximately 80 nucleotides in length.
Source: RNAcentral
AGCUGCUUAGUUUAACUGGUCAAGAACGGGGUGUAGUCGCCAAGGAACAGGUUCGAGUCCUGUAGCAGCA